This 3177-nucleotide long non-coding RNA is filed under the name Homo sapiens (human). Its description in RNAcentral is "HSALNT0346368". Lineage: Eukaryota; Metazoa; Chordata; Mammalia; Primates; Hominidae. The record is from RNAcentral.
CCUCGGCCGGCGCGGACCCCUGGUUGCCCCGGGGUCGAGAGCAGCCGGGGAGAGCUGAGUUCAGAGCCCAGAGUUGGACAUCAGGCCACACGCUGAGAGGGGCCCCAUGCUGCUUAGUGGCCGAUUUGCAGGGAAUCUGGGCACAAUCUUAAUAACACCAGGGCCAAAAAUAACAACGUUCCUGGGAACCGAGCAGCUGGAGCGCACCCCAUGGACGCUGGGCCAUCUCCCCGGGGACUAGUGCCUGACAGAGCUGACAGAGUUCUAGGCCACAUGUGGGCUAGAAGGAACCGCCAUGUCUACCACAGCACAGUCCUUAAGCAGGAGCCUUUUGAAGCACUUGGACUCAAAACAAUGGCUGUUUGUUGUUGUUGUUGUUGUUGUUUGUUUGUUUUGAGGGAGCCAGAAAGCUAAAAAAUGUAAAAGAAGCAGGUCACAUUAGACAUGAUUUCAGACAGCCUCCCCGAAGGACAGAUGAUCUCACUUGGCAACACAUACUGGGCCAGGCUCACUCAUGAGGGGGCAGCGUGGCAUGCACCCCACUCAGGGGCAAGAAUGAAGCUUAAAUAUUAGCUGACUCAGAACAUAGCAAGUGCUCAGUAAUGGCUUCUGGAACGAACCCGUGGUUGUCACCAGCAGGAGUGACGAAAGCUAGAAGCCGUUUCACCAUCCAAGGAAGAGGAGGAACAAUAUUUUUCUCUUUGGAGUUCCCACACUCAGAAGAGAGAACACCAGCAUAUGAACACAGAGUGUCACAUGAUGUAGGAAACAUCCUGUAGGUAGAGAGUAUAAUUCCAAAGCUUAGGAUCCUGCUAGUUCCUUGUGCAGUGCUUCCGGUGGGCAACAUGGUGCCUCCCCAGUCCCUCAGGCUUGAGGCGGGCCAGCACAGCUUCUCUGGGAGCCAGGUCAUUUCAGAAUUUAACCCCAGAACUAGGUCACCCCAGGCAACACAAGGCUCCUCUCCCUUGGAUACAGGAAGCGGAGGAAAAGGCCAGGCAUGCUCAGGGGCAAACCAACACCCAGGUGAAAGGGAGCUGGGCUGGUUUCGGGGAGCAGCCUGGUUUCAGGGAGCCGGACUCACGAUGUGCUUGAGACCCUCAAAUUCACCCCUGGAAGCAGCUGCCCCCGUGACAAGGAACUAAGGACAGGCAUGUCAUGGACUGUGAAUUGGAGUGACAUUUGUCCCUCCCUUCACCAACAGACUGCCCCAAGAGCUUCCCAAGUUAUCUGCCAUAGAAUACCUUGUUUCCCUCGAGUCUCUGAAAGGGGGCCGCAAAAGCUGUCCCCACGCUGGAAAUGCAGGGCCAGGCUUUUAAAGUUUUGCUCCCGGAUUAUGAGAACACCUAGAAAAUUCAGUGCUCCUCUCCACUCCCCCAAACCCCUUCACAAGCCCCCACCCUUUGUUUAACAAACAUAUAUAUAGUGCUUUCCUGGUACCAGAUACUACUUUAAGCACUUGACAAAAUAUUUAGUCAUACAUAAAACCCUUAUAAUUACACUGUAAUUCACUCUCGUCAGAUCCAGUCAUUGUGAAGAAACGGAGGCACGGGGAGAUUAAGAGAGCUACUUAAGAAGACACGGUGCCAGGUUUCUACCCAAGCCAUUUGGAUCUAGGGUCUGGAGGCCAUGUGAGCCAUUUUGCAUUAGAUUAACGCUUUAAUUCAGUUCACAGUUAGACAAUAUACGUUCCCCAUCUAUAUCUAUACCCAUCUGGAAGGCAACAAAAAGAUAAUAAACUGAUAGUGUCAUGUGCCCAUGACCCAGCUAACAAAGAGGCUCUGGGUUCCAAUGCCCCAGUCUUUCAUGGGAUUCCAUCGACCUCAUGCCCUGCUCCCCUCCCCAACAGAGAUGGAAACAUUAUCCUGAAUUUUGUGUUUAUCAUCCCUUGUUUCUCUCUAUAGUUUUUCCACUUAUGGUUGUAUGAUUUUUGUUUGUUUGUUUUUUGAGACGGCAUCUCGCUCUGUCACCAGGCUGGAGUGCAGUGGCGUGAUCUCGGCUCUACCUCCCAGGUUCAAGCCAUCCUCCUGCCUCAUCCUCCCGAGUAGCUGGGACUACAGGCACACGCCACCAUGCCCAGCUAAUUUUUGUAUUUUUAGUAGAGACGGGGUUUCACCUUAUGGUUGUAUCUUUAAACAAUGUCUUGUUUAGUUUUGCCAUGUUUUUGGACUGUGAAUAAGUAGAAUUAUUAUGCUGUGUGAAUUCUUCUGCUACUUGCAUUUUUGCUGCAACGUCAUGUUCCUGAAAUUCAGCCAGGAUUCAUUUAUUCCUUUUCACUGCUGUGUGAUAUCCCAUUGUAGGCAAAUAGUACACAAUAUUUAUUUAUUUUCCAGAUGGGAUCUCAUUCUGUCACCCAGGCUUGUAGUGCAGUGACCCCAUCACGAUUCACUGCAGCCUUGAACUCCUGGGCUCAAGCAAUCCUCCUGCCUCAGCCUCCUGAGUUGCUAAGGCCACAAAUAUUUAUCCAUUUUACUGCUAAUGCAAUUUGAGCUGUUUUCAACUUUUUCCUAUUAAAACAUUAUUGCUAUGAACAUUCUUAUAAAAGCUUCCCAGUGCACGUGUGUGAGAUCUUUCUAGUGUGUAUGCUAGCAGGAGAAUUACUGAGUUUUACCGUACAUGUAUCUUCAAUCUUAUUAGAUAACACUGACUUGUUUUUGAAAUUGGCUCUUCCAAUUUACACUGUCAACAGCAGGGUUAUGUGGUUGCCCUGCAAGUUCAACAACAUUUGGUAUUGUCAGACUUUAAUAUUUUUGUCAAUCUGGUUGGUAUAAAAUGGUAUGGUGUGGUGCUUUUUAUUUGCAUUUCCAUGAUUACUAAUGAGGUUGAGCAUCUUUUCACAUGUUUAUGGGCCAUUUACUUUUCCUCUUCUAUGAAAUUACUAUUCAAGCCCUUUGCCCAUUUUUCUGUUAUGUUGUUUGUCUUUUUCUUAUCGAGGUGGAGGAGUUCUCUGCAGUCUGAAUACGAAUCAUUUUUCAGUUAUGUGCAUUGAAAAUAUCUCCUCCCAGUGUGUAGUUCUUUACACUUUUUAAAAUGGUAUCUUUUAACGAACUAAUAUGGGUUUUAAUGUGUCAAAUAUGUUGAUCAUUUUCUUUAUGGUUUGUGUUUCUUUUGUCUUAAGGAGUCCACUUCUACCCUGAGCUUAUACAAUUUUUUCUGUAUUAUAUUUAUUUUAUAGGGUUU